UGAUGGGUAGAGCAGAUGGCAGCUCGCUGGGCUCAUAAUCCGGAGGUCGCUGGUUCGAUUCCAGCCCCCGCAA
This 73-nucleotide transfer RNA is filed under the name Pseudohongiella spirulinae. It matches the Rfam family "tRNA". Rfam says of the family: Transfer RNA (tRNA) molecules are approximately 80 nucleotides in length. Their secondary structure includes four short double-helical elements and three loops (D, anti-codon, and T loops). Lineage: Bacteria; Pseudomonadati; Pseudomonadota; Gammaproteobacteria; Pseudomonadales; Pseudohongiellaceae. The record is from Rfam by way of RNAcentral.